This 291-nucleotide long non-coding RNA is filed under the name Elaeis guineensis (African oil palm). Its description in RNAcentral is "long non-coding RNA (EGUI_LNC072973)". The record is from RNAcentral. Lineage: Eukaryota; Viridiplantae; Streptophyta; Magnoliopsida; Arecales; Arecaceae.
GUGUCAAUCAUUAAUUGUUCAAAUCAUUUAACUUAUGUUAACUUGUUGUAAAUCGGAUUAGAUUACCUAUUUAAUAAAUUGAUUAAAUUUGAUUCUAGGUUUUUGACUCAUUUAAUACAUAAGUCAAAUUUGGGUCGAUAGCUUUUUUGUAUACCCUGUAUCUGAUCCUAUCUAUAUCUUGUCUGACCAAACCCAAUUACUACCCUAGUCAAGUCCGUUCUGAACUAUUAGUAACAACCUAAAGCUUCACCUAAAAAGGCUAGUAAAAAACUCUAUGAUGUGUGACUAAAU